Non-coding RNA from Pelobates cultripes (western spadefoot toad), 220 nucleotides. NCBI's taxonomy places the organism in Eukaryota, Metazoa, Chordata, Amphibia, Anura, Pelobatidae. The record is from the annotation of a GenBank genome assembly.
CCAUAGCCGGGAAAAGUGGGGGAGAUUAAGUGUGUAUGUUGCCUGUGUGUCAUGUUUUGUGUGUGAAUGUUAACUGUCUGGGGCAGUUGCUUGAGGGAUUGCUUGUGUGGUGUGUGUGUGUAUGUGUUGGAGGCUGCUUGUGGAGUUGUGUGCAUAUAUGUGGGUUGUCACUGGUGUUGUGUUUGUGUGGGCAACUUAUGAAACGGUGUCUCUGUUUUCA